GCACUUGUUUGGAAGUAAAAGUCGUAACAAGGUUUCCGUAGGUGAACCUGCGGAAGGAUCAUUACCGAGUGAGGGUCCCCUCCGGGGGCCCAACCUCCCACCCGUGUCUACCGUACCAUGUUGCUUCGGCGGGCGCGCCCGUGCCCGCCGGAGACCCCUUGAACGCUGUUGUGAAUAAGGUUGUCUGAGUGAUAUUGCAAACUGUCAAAACUUUCAACAACGGAUCUCUUGGUUCCGGCAUCGAUGAAGAACGCAGCGAAAUGCGAUAAGUAAUGUGAAUUGCAGAAUUCCGUGAAUCAUCGAAUCUUUGAACGCACAUUGCGCCCCCCGGCAUUCCGGGGGGCAUGCCUGUCCGAGCGUCAUUGCCACCCCUCAAGCACGGCUUGUGUGUUGGGCUGUCGUCCCCCCCCCCCGGGGGACGGGCCCGAAAGGCAGCGGCGGCACCGCGUCCGGUCCUCGAGCGUAUGGGGCUCUGUCACCCGCUCCGGAGGCCUGGCCGGUGCCCGCCCACCCCGUCGAUCUUUCCAGGUUGACCUCGGAUCAGGUAGGGAUACCCGCUGAACUUAAGCAUAUCAAUAAGCGGAGGAAAAGAAACCAACAGGGAUUGCCUCAUUAACGGCGAGUGAAGCGGCAAGAGCUCAAAUUUGAAAUCUGGCCCCCUUCGGGGGUCCAAGUUGUAAUUUGGAGAGGAUGCUUCGGGCACGGCCCCCGUCUAAGUGCCCUGGAACGGGCCGUCAAGAGGGUGAGAAUCCCUUUGGGACGGUGGCCGGCCCGUGUGAACUCCUUCGACGAGUCAGUUUUUGGGAUGCACUCUAAUGGGGGAAAUUUCAUCUAAGCUAAUAUGGCCGAAACCAUAGCGCACAUUAGAGUGUCGAAAAUAAAAGCACUUGGAAGAGAGUAACGCACUGAAAUGUUAAAGGGAACGCUGCGACAGAUCGCCGGGGGGCUCACCGGACUGUGCGGGCAUCCCCCGGCGGCAGCUCGGUUGGCGGCCGUAAAGCCCCGAAGUGCCCCUCCGGCGUUUAAACCGGGUGCAUGAGCAGCCAAACGAGAACGCUUCGGUCGACCUGCUUAUGUCAAACGCCCUUUGAAACGACAAGAUUAAAUUACCAAGUCGGGGCAACCUCCCCAUAAAGAAGAGGGGACCCCGGGGCCCCCCCACCUAUCUCGAGAUUGAAGGCUACUUGGACCAAAAGGACUCCUAAGGGAACGAGAACUGGGAGCCACUUUUACGAACGCCCAUUGGAGGGAAAAACACUGAGGUUCCCAAUCCGAAGCUUUCUU
Molecule: unclassified non-coding RNA, 1284 nt
Filed under: Rasamsonia eburnea
Lineage: Eukaryota; Fungi; Ascomycota; Eurotiomycetes; Eurotiales; Trichocomaceae
Description: sequence contains ITS1, 5.8S rRNA gene, ITS2, 28S rRNA gene
Rfam family: Eukaryotic large subunit ribosomal RNA (bases 531-1284)
Source: RNAcentral